RNAcentral lists this ribosomal RNA (502 nucleotides) under uncultured bacterium. RNAcentral describes it as "partial 16S ribosomal RNA". It matches the Rfam family "Bacterial small subunit ribosomal RNA", at positions 28 to 507 of the family's 1533-position model. The record is from RNAcentral.
GACGAACGCUGGCGGCGUGCCUAAUACAUGCAAGUCGAACGAACAGCGACUAGGUUUUUGCCCUUGGUGAAGGUGAGUGGCGAACGGGUGAGUCGCACGUGGGCAACCUAUCUCAUAGUGGUGGCUAAGAGUAGGCAGAGCUAGCAACUACCGCAUAGGACAUAGGAUUACAUGAUUCUUUAAGGAAAGGUUGCGCAACCUUUCGCUAUGAGUUCGACCCGCAGUGCAUUAUGUAGUUGGUAGGGUAUUGGCCUACCAAGGCGAUGAUGCAUAGCCGACCUGAGAGGGUGAUCGGCCACAUUGGAACUGAGACACGGCCCAAACUCCUACGGGAGGCAGCAGUAGGGAAUCUUCCGCAAAGGACGCAAGUCUGACGGAGCAACGCCGCGUGAGUGAAGAAGGUCUUCGGAUCGUAAAGCUCUGUUGUUAGAGAAGAACAGCGCAGAGAGUAACUGUUAUGCGUGUGACGGUAUCUAACCAGAAAGCCACGGCUAACUACGUG